Long non-coding RNA from Oncorhynchus tshawytscha (Chinook salmon), 751 nucleotides. The record is from Ensembl. Lineage: Eukaryota; Metazoa; Chordata; Actinopteri; Salmoniformes; Salmonidae.
UCCAUGUGUUAUUCCAUAGUUUUGAUGUCUUCACUAUUAUUCUACAAUGUGGAAAAUAGUAAAAUAAAGAAAAACCCUUGAAUGAGUAGGUGUGUCCUAACUUUUGACUGGUACUGUAUGUUAAGGGGAUGGUUCACCCCAAUAGAAAGGUUCAUACCUCUAAAUACCAUCUUAUUAGAUGGAUCCAUUUCCCCCCAUUAGUUUGGGAUUCAGACCUGCAGUCAUCUUGAUUUCAGACCACUUUGGAGAAGUGUUCCACAGGCAGUAAAUCUAAUGUAGAAUAAAUGGAACCUGGAUCCAUUUCAUUCUAUUAACAUGGUUUAUGUGUUAUAGCAGUAAUGGGGUUAAACUGAUAUUAAAAUGACAACUCCAUAGGUGGUACCAGGUCAGGGGAGUUCAUCUCUGCUCCCAGCAUCCCUGGGACAGUACUGAUCAACAUAGCUGACCUGAUGCAGAGGUGGACCAGUGAUGUUUUCCUCUCAGUGGUCCAUAGGGUUUUACUGCCCCCUGCUGGAGACUGGAGCACACUGCAGUCUCUGGCUUUCUUUGUGCAGCUUGAUGAUGAGGCCCUCAUCAAUACAGGUACUGUAUGUAGAACCAUAGUAAAGACCAGUAUGGACUAUCAAUACAGAUACUGUAUGUAGAACCAUAGUAAAGACCAGUAUGGACUAUCAAUACAGAUACUGUAUGUAGAACCAUAGUAAAGACCAGUAUGGACUAUCAAUACAGAUACUGUAUGUAGAACCAUAGU